AGGGAUUUGCCUCAGUAACGGCGAGUGAAGCGGCAAGAGCUCAACUUUGGAAUCGCUCCGCGCGAGUUGUAGUCUGGAGGUGGCCACCACGAGGUGUUCUAGCAGCAGGCAAGUCCUUUGGAACAAGGCGCCAGCGAGGGUGACAGCCCCGUACCUGCUUUUGCUAGUGCUUCCUGUGGCCCACCGACGAGUCGAGUUGUUUGGGAAUGCAGCUCUAAGUGGGUGGUAAAUUCCAUCUAAGGCUAAAUAUUGGCGAGAGACCGAUAGCGAACAAGUACAGUGAUGGAAAGAUGAAAAGCACUUUGAAAAGAGAGUGAAACAGUACGUGAAAUUGUUGAAAGGGAAGGGCUUGCACCCAGACACGGUUUCGGCCGGGCCAGCAUCAAGUAGAACGGGGUUAAAAGACCUGGGGAAUGUAGCUACCUCUUGGUAGUGUUAUAGCCCUUGGGUGAUGACCCCUGUUUUGCUUGAGGACAGCGGUCUCUAGGAUGCUGGCGCAAUGGUUGCAAGCCACCCGUCUUGAAACACGGACCAAGGAGUCUAACGUCUAUGCGAGUGUACGGCUGAAAAACCCCUGCGCGGAAUGAAAGUAAGAGGUUGGAACCCUCUCGGGGGUGCACAAUCGACCGACCCAGAAGUGCUC
This 643-nucleotide ribosomal RNA is filed under the name Candidozyma auris. RNAcentral describes it as "eukaryotic LSU rRNA". It matches the Rfam family "Eukaryotic large subunit ribosomal RNA", at positions 70 to 781 of the family's 3401-position model. The record is from RNAcentral. Lineage: Eukaryota; Fungi; Ascomycota; Pichiomycetes; Serinales; Metschnikowiaceae.